UACGUAGGGUGCAAGCGUUGUCCGGAAUUAUUGGGCGUAAAGAGCUCGUGAGGCGGUUCUGUUACGAUCUGGCUGUCGAAAACCCAGGGCGUUGAAACCCUCGGGCGUGCAGUGGGAUACGGGGCAGACGUAGAGGCAGGUAGGGGGAGAAUGGAAUUCCCGGUGUAGCGGUGGAAAAUGCGCAGAUAUCGGGAGGAACACCGGUGGCGAAGGCGGUUCUCUGGGCCUGACCUGACGCUGAGGAGACGAAAGCGUGGGGGAGCGAACAGG
RNAcentral lists this ribosomal RNA (270 nucleotides) under uncultured bacterium. Its description in RNAcentral is "partial 16S ribosomal RNA". It matches the Rfam family "Bacterial small subunit ribosomal RNA", at positions 524 to 776 of the family's 1533-position model. The record is from RNAcentral.